UACAUGCAAGUCGAGCGAACAGAUGAGGAGCUUGCUCCUCUGACGUUAGCGGCGGACGGGUGAGUAACACGUGGAUAACCUACCUAUAAGACUGGGAUAACUACGGGGAACCGGAGCUAAUACCGGAUAAUAUAUUGAACCGCAUGGUUCAAUAGUGAAAGACGGUUUUGCUGUCACUUAUAGAUGGAUCCGCGCCGCAUUAGCUAGUUGGUAAGGUAACGGCUUACCAAGGCAACGAUGCGUAGCCGACCUGAGAGGGUGAUCGGCCACACUGGAACUGAGACACGGUCCAGACUCCUACGGGAGGCAGCAGUAGGGAAUCUUCCGCAAUGGGCGAAAGCCUGACGGAGCAACGCCGCGUGAGUGAUGAAGGUCUUCGGAUCGUAAAACUCUGUUAUUAGGGAAGAACAAAUGUGUAAGUAACUAUGCACGUCUUGACGGUACCUAAUCAGAAAGCCACGGCUAACUACGUGCCAGCAGCCGCGGUAAUACGUAGGUGGCAAGCGUUAUCCGGAAUUAUUGGGCGUAAAGCGCGCGUAGGCGGUUUUUUAAGUCUGAUGUGAAAGCCCACGGCUCAACCGUGGAGGGUCAUUGGAAACUGGAAAACUUGAGUGCAGAAGAGGAAAGUGGAAUUCCAUGUGUAGCGGUGAAAUGCGCAGAGAUAUGGAGGAACACCAGUGGCGA
Molecule: ribosomal RNA, 684 nt
Filed under: uncultured Staphylococcus sp.
Lineage: Bacteria; Bacillati; Bacillota; Bacilli; Caryophanales; Staphylococcaceae
Description: bacterial SSU rRNA
Rfam family: Bacterial small subunit ribosomal RNA
Source: RNAcentral